UCCGCUUUCCGCUCUGUAAUGGGAUGGGAUCCGAAGCUGUCCGAGGGAUAAUACAGGCUCUCCCAUCCAACUCCUAUUCCGACACGUCCUCGUCGUGCAGAGUGGUAACAUGUGCCUCUAUAUAUCCUAGCUUGGGUACACGGGCUAGAUCCAACCCCUUGGGCGGAUGGUGGCAUAUGGCGAACCAGGAGGGG
Molecule: ribozyme, 194 nt
Filed under: Anopheles gambiae (African malaria mosquito)
Lineage: Eukaryota; Metazoa; Arthropoda; Insecta; Diptera; Culicidae
Description: drz-agam-2-2 ribozyme
Rfam family: drz-agam-2-2 ribozyme
Source: Rfam by way of RNAcentral